GAAUCUGUAUUUUGGAAAAGCUUAUCAUGCUUACUCUACUAUGUAUUUAGUCGAACCCUGCUUAAUCUUGCCGUGUGGCAUAGCCCAGACCCACUACCCUCGCCAAACAUGGCCAAUAUGGUGUGUGUAAUGUUAGGUCAAAAUCCUUUUAUUUAAGUGUAUAUUUGUGAUGCGUAUGAAAUAAACAAAAUUGUUUGUGUUUGGCACUUCAUGCCUUUUGACGGUCAAUUUCUUGAUCAUGAUCCAAAGAAGCUUUCUUGGUCAGUUUAUCUCACAUCUAAUUAAAUGGCUCCCAAAUAGCUAUUGCUACUAGGACGAUUCUUCGGACUACAUAUCACUCAAUUUCAAUUUUCAUCUGAGUGAGUUUGGAGCCUACGAAUUCAGAUGAUUUUUCGCGAGAGUAGUCCUCUUUUUCUUAGGUGGUGAUGAAACCAUCCCUUCGUAGGAAUCAGGGCCACCGGUUUUGAGAAUUUUAGCAUCACAAUUCACACACGAAGUCUCGCUGCCCUCCCAUCCUUGGUGGUCAGCCCAUAUAGAAUUUUUCAUGGCCCAUAAAAGGACUUUCGAACUCCUCGAGGGUUGGGUUCGAGCAUAGGAUGUUUCCAUGGCCCAAAUCUUCCCGUUAGCAACCUUCUUCUGUCAGUAGCUUCUCCUCUCGCGUUAAUAGCACAACCAUCAGUUGUUGAUAGCAGGUCAAGUACCAUCACUCUGUUAAUAGCAGGUCAAGCAGUGUGACGGAAACGCACGAAAUAAAAAGUCCCCAACAUGGCCGCGUGCACCCGUGUCAAGUCUCCUCCCGUCGAGAUCACGAGACUCCGCGUGAGACCGAUCCGCGCUCAUGGCCGGUGCUGACAAAUCGCGGUAGCUUGACGUGAUCAAAAGCACCAGGUACGGUUACUGAUGCAUGCGAUACGAUUUGCCAGAUCGCUCACGGCCGUGCACUAGUUUUCUACCCUCUCGUGCCUCUCGUCAUGUUGUCCUUCCGCGCGUCGAGGCCUUUCGUUUCUCACCGCCAGGGCCGCUGACGCGGUGCGUGUGCUUGUGUUUUCUUCUCUGCCUGCAGGUCGUUACCAACUUGGAAACCGCCAGCGAUCAUUGACAACGACUCCGAGGGUCGAACGCGUGAGCUCGUAAUAACAGGCAGGACGCUGAAUGCUCACCCUCAUCAGCCUCAGCCACACCGUUUGAAUCUUUCAACCAUCCGUGUGGAUUGCUA
Molecule: long non-coding RNA, 1216 nt
Filed under: Setaria italica (foxtail millet)
Lineage: Eukaryota; Viridiplantae; Streptophyta; Magnoliopsida; Poales; Poaceae
Description: long non-coding RNA (SITA_LNC001380)
Source: RNAcentral